UACGUAGGGGGCAAGCGUUGUCCGGAAUCAUUGGGCGUAAAGCGCGCGUAGGUGGCCCGGUAAGUCCGCUCUGAAAGUCAAAGGCUCAACCUUUGAAAGCGGGUGGAUACUGUCGGGCUAGAGUCCGGAAGAGGCGAGUGGAAUUCCUGGUGUAGCGGUGGAAUGCGCAGAUAUCAGGAGGAACACCAACGGCGAAGGCAGCUCGCUGGGACGGUACUGACACUAAGGCGCGAAAGCGUGGGGAGCGAACAGGAUUAGAUACCCUGGUAGUCCACGCCGUAAACGAUGGGAACUAGGUGUGGGAGGUGUCGACUCCUCCCGUGCCGGCGCUAACGCAUUAAGUUCCCCGCCUGGGGAGUACGGCCGCAAGGCUAAA
RNAcentral lists this ribosomal RNA (376 nucleotides) under uncultured bacterium. RNAcentral's name for it is "bacterial SSU rRNA". It matches the Rfam family "Bacterial small subunit ribosomal RNA", at positions 524 to 898 of the family's 1533-position model. The record is from RNAcentral.